AUACGGAAGGUCCGGGCGUUAUCCGGAUUUAUUGGGUUUAAAGGGAGCGCAGGCGGAGAUGCAAGCGUGACGUCAAAUUUCGGGGCUCAACCCCGUCUCGCGUCGCGAACUGCGUCCCUUGGUUGCGGGAAGGGGAGGCGGGACGCGUGGGGUAGCGGUGGAAUGCAUAGAUAUCACGAAGAACUCCGAUCGCGAAGGCAGCCUUCCGGCCCGUCAACGACGCUCAUGCUCGAAGGUGCGGGUAUCAAACAGGAUUAGAUACCCUGGUAGUCCGCACAGUAAACGAUGGACACCCGCGGUUUGGCCUGUAUGGCUGAGCCGCCAAGCGAAAGCGUUAAGUGUCCCACCUGGGGAGUACGCCGGCAACGGUGAAACUCAAAGGAAUUGACGGGG
RNAcentral lists this ribosomal RNA (393 nucleotides) under uncultured bacterium. RNAcentral's name for it is "partial 16S ribosomal RNA". It matches the Rfam family "Bacterial small subunit ribosomal RNA", at positions 523 to 918 of the family's 1533-position model. The record is from RNAcentral.